GCCCGAAUGGCUCAGUGGUAAAGCGUCUCACUAGUAUGGCCGUUCAACAGACUUCGGUCUAUCUGGAUAGUUGACAACAUGAGAAGAUCGCCAGUUCGAUUCUGGCUUUGGGCA
Molecule: transfer RNA, 114 nt
Filed under: Colletotrichum higginsianum
Lineage: Eukaryota; Fungi; Ascomycota; Sordariomycetes; Glomerellales; Glomerellaceae
Also listed under: 1 other name
Description: tRNA CH063_16333
Rfam family: tRNA
About the family: Transfer RNA (tRNA) molecules are approximately 80 nucleotides in length.
Source: Rfam by way of RNAcentral